Danio rerio (zebrafish) is the source of this 117-nucleotide non-coding RNA. NCBI's taxonomy places the organism in Eukaryota, Metazoa, Chordata, Actinopteri, Cypriniformes, Danionidae. The record is from Rfam.
CCUGCAGCCCAUAUCACCCUGCAGCCCAAGACUGUUUACUCUCUGAAGCUAAGCAGGGCUGAGCCUGGUCAGUACCUGGAUGGGAGACCGCAUGGGAAAAACUAGGUGGCUGUUUUA